Molecule: ribosomal RNA, 409 nt
Filed under: uncultured bacterium
Lineage: Bacteria
Description: bacterial SSU rRNA
Rfam family: Bacterial small subunit ribosomal RNA
Source: RNAcentral
UGGGGAAUAUUGCGCAAUGGGGGAAACCCUGACGCAGCGACGCCGCGUGCGGGAUGAAGGCCUUCGGGUUGUAAACCGCUUUCAGCGGGGACGAAGCGAAAGUGACGGUACCCGCAGAAGAAGCCCCGGCCAACUACGUGCCAGCAGCCGCGGUAAGACGUAGGGGGCGAGCGUUGUCCGGAUUCAUUGGGCGUAAAGCGCGCGCAGGCGGCCCGGUAAGUCGGAUGUGAAAACCCGGGGCUCAACCCCGGGCCUGCAUUCGAUACUGUCGGGCUUGAGGCAGGUAGGGGAGAUCGGAAUUCCCGGUGUAGCGGUGAAAUGCGCAGAUAUCGGGAGGAACACCGGUGGCGAAGGCGGAUCUCUGGGCCUGUCCUGACGCUCAGGCGCGAAAGCUGGGGGAGCAAACAGG